This 427-nucleotide ribosomal RNA is filed under the name Andasibe sahondrae. RNAcentral's name for it is "partial 16S ribosomal RNA". Lineage: Eukaryota; Metazoa; Arthropoda; Insecta; Coleoptera; Staphylinidae. The record is from RNAcentral.
GUCCUUUUGAUUAUAAUUUAAGGUUAGAUCUGCCCAUUGAUUUAUUUAACGGCCGCAGUAUUUUGACUGUGCAAAGGUAGCAUAAUAAUUAGUUUUUUAAUUGAAAGCUAGAAUGAAUGAUUUGAUGAAAAAAAUUCUGUCUCUUUUUUAUUAUAUAUAAUUUUAUUUUUAAGUUAAAAAGCUUAAAUUUUAUUAAAAGACGAGAAGACCCUAUAGAGUUUAUAUAUAAAUAUAUGAUAUUUAUUUAUUUUAUUUUAUUUAUAUUAUAGAAUUAUAUUUUAUUGGGGUGAUAGACAAGUUUAUUAAACCUUUUUAUAAUAUAAACAAUGUUAAUUGGUUAAUUGAUCCUUUUAAGAUUAUUAGAUUAAAUUACCUUAGGGAUAACAGCGUAAUUUUUUUGGAGAGUUCAUAUCUAUAGAAAAGUUUG